AUACUUGCCUGGUGCCGGGUUUCCGAUGAUCAUUGAGGUCGGUGCCCCGUGUCGAGGCCUUACCAUUGCACUGCGGUUUGCUGAAGCACGCCACAACCCCAAAACUGGGGCACAUGGGGCAUUAAUUUUUGGUAGUGGGGCUUCGCCUACGCGCCAGCCCCUU
Small nuclear RNA from Dermacentor andersoni, 163 nucleotides. RefSeq annotates it as U1 spliceosomal RNA. The record is from RefSeq and is a predicted model, not a curated record. NCBI's taxonomy places the organism in Eukaryota, Metazoa, Arthropoda, Arachnida, Ixodida, Ixodidae.